GACGAACGCUGGCGGCGUGCUUAACACAUGCAAGUCGAACGGAAAGGCCCCCAUCUUGGUGGGGGUGCUCGAGUGGCGAACGGGUGAGUAACACGUGGGUGAUCUGCCCUGUACUUCGGGAUAAGCUUGGGAAACUGGGUCUAAUACCGGAUAGGACCAUGGUUUAGUGUCUCAUGGUGGAAAGAUUAUUGUUUUGGUGCAGGAUGAGCUCGCGGCCUAUCAGCUUGUUGGUGGGGUAAUGGCCUACCAAGGCGUCGACGGGUAGCCGGCCUGAGAGGGUGGACGGCCACAUUGGGACUGAGAUACGGCCCAGACGCCUACGGGAGGCAGCAGUGGGGAAUAUUGCACAAUGGGCGCAAGCCUGAUGCAGCGACGCCGCGUGGGGGAUGACGGCCUUCGGGUUGUAAACUCCUUUCGUUAGGGACGAAGCCACGCUUGUUGGGUGUGGUGACGGUACCUUUGUGAAGAAGCACCGGCUAACUACGUG
Molecule: ribosomal RNA, 487 nt
Filed under: uncultured bacterium
Lineage: Bacteria
Description: partial 16S ribosomal RNA
Rfam family: Bacterial small subunit ribosomal RNA
Source: RNAcentral